AUGCAGCUGACGAGUCCCAAAUAGGAAGAAACGCGCAUUUUGUAU
This 45-nucleotide non-coding RNA is filed under the name Schistosoma haematobium. The record is from RNAcentral. Lineage: Eukaryota; Metazoa; Platyhelminthes; Trematoda; Strigeidida; Schistosomatidae.